CGCAAGACAUGAAAGGAUCAAAGGGAUUCUAGCGCUAAGCCCCGCCCACAUCCGCAAUGACGGCGACGUGACGUUACCCUAGCGACCGCUAUACAAUGGCGAUCCUCAGUGUUUGGGAUUAAGUGAAACUUCUAUGGAUGUCAAUCAUGUAGCCUGCUGGUCCACUGCUUUAACCCACAGCAAAUACUGUUAAAAUCCUUCCUUUAAAGUUAGAAUGUCAAGCGACCCCCCGCUCCCACCCUCACCCACUGUGUUGUUGUCGGGUUUACCGUGACUGCUGAUCCUACACAUGUGACACACGGGCAGCAUGGUGGCACGGUUAGCACUGUUGCCUUACAGCAAGAAGGUUGUGAGUUCAAUUCCACUAUCAGGCCAGGGUCUUUCUGUGUGGAGUUUGCAUGUUCUCCCCGGUUUCUUCCCACAGUUCAAAAGGCAUGCAGUUAGUGGGGAUAGGUUAAUUGAAAAAUCUGAAUUGCCCAUUGUUUUUAGAAAAAUCUAAAUUGCCCAUAGGUGUGAGUGAAUGUGAGUACGAAUGUUUAGCCCUGUGACAGACUAGCGACCUGUCCAGGGCGUACCCUGCCUCUCGCCCUAAGAUAGCUGCCAUAGGCUCCAGCGCCCCUUGCGACCCUCAAAAGGAAACGCGUCCUUGUAGUACUUCGUGGUCUUAGAAGCUUGAAAGAGGAUGACUGGAGUUCUUGAAGUUGUUUGAAUACAGAGGAAACAGACAUUAGCAAUAGAAAAACAGAAUGACAAACAUAACAGCCUUUACUUAUGUAGCAGGUUUGUCAGAGAAACUCGAGAGAAUUUUCUCCAAGAACAACACUUCAGACUCAGCCACACCCUCAGACAACAACUGGUUCAUCCCAAGGAUAAAACUCCCAAACACGAGCUAAACGACACGGGGUAUGCCGUGCAGUGAGGAAUGCUUGGACUUCUACAUUGACUGUAGAAACCAGAGAGCCACUCCCUAUAAACGCAUGGCACAACAUAGAAGAGCCUCCUUGACAGGCCAAGACUCAGACUUGCAUCUGCAUCUACAGGACAAAAGUCACACCUUCAGAUGGUUUGAAAAUCAGCCCAAAUAAUCACCCCUCCACCCCUGUGCUUUAUGGUUAGCAUGAUGUGUUUGGUCUCGCCUGUGCAAAGGACAUUUUACCAGAAGUCUUGUGGUUUGCUCAGAUGUGGCUUUGCAUACAUACAAUGUGCUGCUGUAUUCUUUAUAGACAGAAGAGGCUUUUAACAUGCUGACUGAGGCCUGUAGAGUCUGAGAUGGGGUUAAUUUUGUUCCGGGAAGAUUAUGGCUUUGUGUUAACACACCUGAAUGCUCCCCUUCAGAGGUGACAGUCUGCUUUAAAAUAGAUGCUCACACUUACUAACGCUCAACUAACCAAAUGCAUUUGAUUAGCAGCACCUGGAAGCAACUGACCAGGGGAGCCACCAUAGGGGUGGGGAGACACUGGCCUCCCCUGACAAGACUGCCUUAUGUUGGUAAUAACUUUAAUAAAUGUAAGCACAUGAGAGAGGAAGACACCCUACAAUGAACUUGUCAUGGGGUUAGUGUUUCACAGGACUGCAGAGAGCCCUGUGAAAACGUUCUCUUUGCUGUUCAUCAUCUGCUUUUGAAAUGAAUAGUUUAUUAAAUGUGAAUGUUCACUUGUUUUCUUUUAAAUUUAAAGACAGGCGCACAGAGCAGUUGUUUUGGGCUGUAAUUUGUGACCCACCAACUGAAAUGAGUUUGACAGCCCUGCCCUAAUCCAGAGUGAAAUGCAAAAUGAGCUAUUAGUAUGUAUCUAGGGGUGAUUUAAAGAGCGUUGCCCUCUCAGAAUCAAUCCAGACUGAUUUAAACAGAUGUCAGUGAAGUUGACUUAGUGCAGGUCAGCGUGUGUAGAAGAUCACAUGCUGCCUGAUGCGUACCUGAACCGCAGAACGUAUUUGAGUGUAUUACUGGUGACAAAUUGUCCUCAUGGCUCAUGUGAGUAAUGAGGACUCAUUAUUUGCGAGAGUCACAAGAUGAGAGCGUCCACUACCGGCUGCUCGGGUCUGCUGCUGAGUUAACAUGUUCUCAUCCAGCAGAUUAGCCAGCGAGGGGUUGCUGUCGAGUUAUUACCUUGGACCUAAAUGAGAAGAAGAUACUCGAGUAUUACAGUGUUUUUGUGAACUGCAAAAGCCCCAACUCACUUUAUGUGAACCAAAAUCUCGGUGAUUUAAGCUAAUGUAGUGAAUCAACCAAACUUUAAAUGGUUUUUAGCUCAUUAGACACAAAUUGCAGACCCCGUAUUAAUCUUUUUUUGAAUGCAUACACCUUUGAUUUUCAUGUAUUCAGUCUGAAUUAUUGCUUCAUGGUUAUGAGGGCAAAGAAGCUUUUAUUUUGAGUGUGUGUUUGAAACACUAAGAGAUGUUAGUGUCUUUGAGAUUCUUAGUUUGUCAACUUUGUGUAGACAACUCAGGACUUUGUAGGUGUUUGGAUAUAAAGCUCACUCUGAUCUGCUGAUGUCUCUGUGUCUCUCCAGCAUCAGGUGAUCUGAUAGGGCUUCAGGAUGUAAAACAAUGCAUCUCAAAGGUUGUGGCUCGAGAAGCAAAGAGAGCAGUAUUUCCCAAUGUUUCCAACAUAAAUAGGUCCUCAUCUGAGUGGACAGAGGCUCUUCUUGGAUUUUAAUUGUCUCAUGAAUUCUAAAAAGCUGAGCAGAUUUUAGUAAACUUCUGUAUGUGUAACUCAACACUUGAAACCUCAUGUGUGUCACAGUCCUCUUGUCCUCCUGUGGCAAUCUGCAUCUCUUUCCUCUCUCUGUGUGAGUGUGAGUGUGGGUUUGUCCCUUAACCUGCUUGUGUGUUUCAGAGAUGGCGUUUGUUCCCAUGGUUACUCUGGCUACACACCUGGAAGCUGUUUCGUAUCAUCCAUAAUCAUCCAACUGUCUGCAAUCCAGUGAUUACCCACUGGCUCUUUAAGGCUGAAGAGUCCCCUCGGUUGAUGCCAGGUCGAUGUGUAGUUCGACUCUGCUGUGGACGUCUCCACGCCCGUGUGGUGAAACCGGUGGUGAGAAAAGAAAAGCUGCGGAGGAAAUACCUCUCAAGAUGACUCUAUCUUCAAUAAGCCUGUUAAGCCUUUAUUCUGAUGUCCUGCAUUUGACUCCAGAUCCUUGAAAAAGUGAUUCUCUUGCAGUUCUACAAAAAAUGCAAACUAUAAACGGGAAAGGACCCAACACUUGUACUUUCAAAGAAAAUAAUACACCAUCAGACUUCUUUGUCUUAAACUAUGGUUUACCGGCUCCACAUUUCCUUCAUGUGCGCUUGAUUCAUACUCUUAUAACACAUAGUUAUGUUGGAUGAACCAUCUGCUUUCAUACGUAAAUUACAGCAUGACAUAUAAAAGAAUUUAAAAUAAGCCACCAUGAUCUUAAACCUCUGCUGUACUGUGAUGUUACAUGAUACUGGAGGAGGAGGGAGGUGGCAGUGGAGGACUCAUUUCUGUUUUUAUUUCAUACUUUAUCAUUUUUGUAGAAUUAUAAAACAACCCCGAGUUUGGAAAGACCAGAGUUACAUGUCAAGAACACUGUUUUUAAUUUUUUUUAUGCAGCGUGUCAUCAAUGUUGAAUGGUGUUUAUAUUUUUAUGGUCAUGCGUGUGAUCUGAAGAUUUAUGUGUAGUUCUGAACUGUGAGGGUUUGCCUCACAAGAGGUUAAAGUAUUUUGAAAACAGGGUUUUAUGUUUAAAGCUUUGAGAAGACUGAGAAAAGUUCUGAGAAAUGUUCCUUAGCAACUGAGAAAAACUGUAAGAAAAUACAAAUCUCAAAUGAUGAAACGGAGUAAGCGGUGAAAUUAAAUCUUCUCUCGCCUGCUCCCUUUAGGGCUCGCCACAGCGGGUCGUCUGUCUCCAUCCGACUCCAUCCUCAGUAUCCUGUCACGCCAACCCUCUGCAUGUCCUUCACUACAUCCAUGAAUCUUCUCUUUGCUCUUCAUUUUUUCCUCCUGCCUGGCAGCUCCAUCUCCAUCCCACUAUCCCUCCCUGUGCCAACAUAAAUAGUAAAAUGUCACAAAGUGCAUUUUAAGGCCAUGAGUCAAAGAAUCGGGAGCAUCAAAGAUGACUUGCACCGAAGCCUCCGGGUUUAUUCACAGGAGAGAUGGCACCAUCUACUGAGCAGAGACGGCUGCUGCAGAUGCCGUGCAUGUCCACCAGCUUUAUCGCUCUGUCAGAUUUCCAUUCAUUGUUUUAUGUCCAAUCACGUCCAACUAAUCUGUCAGCUUAGCUCUGUGUGGGCACCGCUGAUUCACAGCCUUUACAGUUAAAAAUAGUUGUCUUUUGCUUCAUUUCUGAUGAUUAUUGCAACAUCGAGAGUAAGAGACUGUGGUCAUUGUGUGGUCACUGUGGUAGGUUUGAUAGUUCGUGUUAUUUAAAUAUGCAAACCAAUACUUGUAAUGCACUUACAUAAGAGAAAUAUGCGAAAUGAAGUGAAGUGGGAGUCGUCGUAUUAUACAAGCCAAGUCGCAGUGAUGUUUAAUGUUUCGGCUGCUGGCACAGAAAGCGUGUGGUAUCAGUUGUAUGACAGAAGUGAGGCAAGCAUACAACAUGUGAGGCCUUUUAAAUGAAGUUUUACAUUUUUUGUAAACAGCAGGCCUGGAGUCAUCCGGCGUCUCUGCCUGUUAGAGAGUAUGAGUCAAGCCCUGAAGCAACAUUAACAGACAGGGAGGAACAAAACCCUCAUACUCCUGAUGUGUCAGUGGAAAUGAAAACAGCUAAACUGUGACAGCAAAUUCAGAAACAAACAAGCCUGCUCGGUGAAAACAUUUAUCACAGGGUGUGCACAAGUGUUAAAAUUAGUACCUGAACUCAGAAACAGCAGAUAAGAAAACGGCUUUUCACAGGAGUCCAUUUGGAAGAAACGAACAUGAUGUAUUGAGAUAAAGAAUUUGACUAUUAUUAUGCUGUUUGACAAUUAAACUCAGUUGACCCAUCAUAGCAGACUGGAGUCCUAACAAUGAUAGGAAUUAGGAACCCCAGAGUCUAGAUGGUGGUGGUGGUAAUGAAGAUGAAGGGGGAAUGACAGAAAAGCAGUGAGAUUUACAGUAGACAGAAUAGCAGCUGAUUGGCUCACAGAAGGUGGGCAAGAAAAAGACUGGAGUAGAGUAAUGAUUGAGUUUGCAAGCGUGGGAAAGAGGAAGUGAUGAAGAGAACAGACUAGCAGCUCGAACACCCAGGAAAGCAGGCGGAUGACUGAUUACAGAUGUUCCUUAUUGAACUUACGCAUAAGCUUCAUUUAGAUUCAUCCUUGUAUAUGUUUAUGUUAAGAAUACAUAUUCUUACCCAAGGUGACAUGUGGUGACUUUUACAGGAACGCAAACAGAGACAGCCACCCCACCUCAACCCCCUCCAAAAAGAGAACAUCUUAUAGAGUUGUGAAAUACUAUUACUUAUAUAGUUGUCAUCUAAAUGUUUGCUAUUAGCUCACAAUGAAGAGUGAUGGAGGAUUUUUUAGAAGCACUCCUUUAAUAAAAGUAGCAAUGAA
Molecule: long non-coding RNA, 5499 nt
Organism: Oreochromis aureus
Lineage: Eukaryota; Metazoa; Chordata; Actinopteri; Cichliformes; Cichlidae
Exons: 4
Source: RefSeq, a predicted model, not a curated record